UUGGGGAGCGUAUUGUAGAUU
Molecule: microRNA, 21 nt
Filed under: Picea abies (Norway spruce)
Lineage: Eukaryota; Viridiplantae; Streptophyta; Pinopsida; Pinales; Pinaceae
Description: pab-miR11573a
Source: miRBase by way of RNAcentral